RNAcentral lists this ribosomal RNA (275 nucleotides) under uncultured bacterium. Its description in RNAcentral is "partial 16S ribosomal RNA". It matches the Rfam family "Bacterial small subunit ribosomal RNA", at positions 399 to 691 of the family's 1533-position model. The record is from RNAcentral.
GCGUGAGUGAUGACGGCCUUAGGGUUGUAAAGCUCUUUUACCUGGGAAGAUAAUGACGGUACCAGGAGAAUAAGCCCCGGCUAACUUCGUGCCAGCAGCCGCGGUAAUACGAAGGGGGCUAGCGUUGUUCGGAUUUACUGGGCGUAAAGGGCGCGUAGGCGGGCGAAUAAGUCAGGGGUGAAAUCCCAAGGCUCAACCUUGGAACUGCCUUUGAUACUGUUUGUCUUGAGUUCGAGAGAGGUAAGUGGAACUGCGAGUGUAGAGGUGAAAUUCGU